Molecule: ribosomal RNA, 418 nt
Filed under: uncultured fungus
Lineage: Eukaryota; Fungi
Description: eukaryotic LSU rRNA
Rfam family: 5.8S ribosomal RNA (bases 1-125)
Source: RNAcentral
GCAUCGAUGAAGAACGCAGCGAAACGCGAUAGGUAAUGUGAAUUGCAGAAUUCCGUGAAUCAUCGAAUCUUUGAACGCACCUUGCGCUCCAUGGCAUUCCGUGGAGCAUGCCUGUUUGAGUGCCGCGAAAUCUCCCACCCCUAGCGGUUGCCGCAAGGCGCCGCCGGGCGGCGGGGUUGGUUGGGUGCCGCUGCCUGGGCUUUGGCCCAGGCUCGCCCGAAAUGCAUGAGCGCUUAGCACUCGCACCGUCUCGAGGGAAGGCGGCGGAGCUGGCAUCUGCGCAUGGCAUGAUACGUCAUUUGCUGUGUGGCAGCCCAGCGACCCGAGAGUGUGUGUGCGCUACUACACGCCCUUUCAUUUCUGGUCUCAAAUCAGGUAGGAUCACCCGCNGAACUUAAGCAUAUCAAUAAGCGGAGGA